GUUUUGGGGACAUCUUGGUGCCUUGGGGACAUGUUGGGGACAUCUCAAGAUCUUGGGGACAUCUCAGCACCUUGGGGACACCUCGUUGCCUUGGGGACAUCUCAGUUCCUUGGAGAUAUCUCAGCACCUUGGGGACAUCUCAGCAUCUUGAGGACUUCUUGGCACCUUGGGGACACCUCGCUGCCUUGGGGACACCUCAACGUCUUGGGGACAUCUCGGCACCUCGGGGACAUCUCAGCAUCUUGGGGACAUUUCGGUGCUUUGGGGACCUCUUGACAUCUUGGGGACAUCUCAACACCUUGGGGACAUCUCAGAAUCCUGGGGACACCUCAGUGUCUUGAGGUUAUUUCAACGUCUUGGGGACAUCUCAGCACCUUGGUGGCACCUCCGCACCUUGGGAACACCUUGGUGCCUUGGGGACAUCUCAGCACCUUGGGGACAUCUCGGUGUCUUGGGGACAUCUCAGUAUCUUGGGGACAUCUCAACAUCUUGGUGGCACCUCCGCACCUUGGGAACCCCUUGGUGCCUUGGGGACAUCUCACCACCUUGGGGACAUCUCGAUAUCUUGGGGACAUCUUGGUGCCUUGGGGACAUCUCAACAUCUUGGGGACAUCUCGAUAUCUUGGGGACAUCUCAACAUCUUGGUGGCACCUCCGCACCUUGAGAACAUCUUGGUGCCUUGGGGACAUCUCAGCGCCCUGGGGACAUCUCAAUGUCUUGGGGACAUCCCAACAUCUUGGUGGCACCUCUGCACCUUGGGGACAUCUCGGUGUCUUGGGGACAUCUCAACAUCUUGGUGGCACCUCCACACCUUGGGAACACCUUGGUGCCUUGGGGACAUCUCAGCACCUUGGGGACAUCUCGAUAUCUUGGGGACAUCUUGGUGUCUUGGGGACAUCUCAACAUCUUGGGGACAUCUCGGCAUCUUGGGGACAUCUCAUUGUCUUGGGGACAUCUCAGCACCUUGGUGGCACCUCCGCACCUUGGGAACACCUUGGUGCCUUGGGGACAUCUCAGCACCUUGGGGACAUCUCGG
This 1036-nucleotide long non-coding RNA is filed under the name Numida meleagris (helmeted guineafowl). RNAcentral's name for it is "lncRNA (ENSNMEG00000004231.1)". The record is from RNAcentral. Lineage: Eukaryota; Metazoa; Chordata; Aves; Galliformes; Numididae.